RNAcentral lists this ribosomal RNA (497 nucleotides) under uncultured bacterium. Its description in RNAcentral is "partial 16S ribosomal RNA". It matches the Rfam family "Bacterial small subunit ribosomal RNA", at positions 28 to 507 of the family's 1533-position model. The record is from RNAcentral.
GAUGAACGCUGGCGGCGUGCCUAAUACAUGCCAGUCGAGCGAACAGACGAGGAGCUUGCUCCUCUGACGUUAGCGGCGGACGGGUGAGUAACACGUGGAUAACCUACCUAUAAGACUGGGAUAACUUCGGGAAACCGGAGCUAAUACCGGAUAAUAUAUUGAGCCGCAUGGUUCAAUAGUGAAAGACGGUUUUGCUGUCACUUAUAGAUGGAUCCGCGCCGCAUUAGCUAGUUGGUAAGGUAACGGCUUACCAAGGCGACGAUGCGUAGCCGACCUGAGAGGGUGAUCGGCCACACUGGAACUGAGACACGGUCCAGACUCCUACGGGAGGCAGUAGUAGGGAAUCUUCCGCAAUGGGCGAAAGCCUGACGGAGCAACGCCGCGUGAGUGAUGAAGGUCUUCGGAUCGUAAAACUCUGUUAUUAGGGAAGAACAAAUGUGUAAGUAACUAUGCACGUCUUGACGGUACCUAAUCAGAAAGCCACGGCUAACUACGUG